This is a non-coding RNA of Cricetulus griseus (Chinese hamster), 793 nucleotides long. NCBI's taxonomy places the organism in Eukaryota, Metazoa, Chordata, Mammalia, Rodentia, Cricetidae. The record is from RefSeq and is a predicted model, not a curated record.
UGCCAUGUGAUCCCUGGAAGAGAGGACACAUGUUGCUGGUGAUCUCAAUAAGAAAAUUUAAAGCAAUGGAUUCCUUCCAGAUUAAUAUGGUUUGAUGAAGCAAGAUGCCCUGAAACACUGUCACAGACUUUCAUAAGUGCUCCAUCCUUGGGAAUAUGCCUAAAGCCCCUAUGAAGGCUUCUCAGAAUUGCUACCCCAUGAAGGCACAUUGGAGUCACCAUACAAGGACACACAGAAGGCCCUCUCCAUGAAGGAUAGGCCCUCAUCAGGCAAAUGGAUGGAACUAGAAGAAACCAUUCUGAGCAAGGUAACCCAAUCACAAAAAGACAAACAUGCCACAGCCUCACUCUUCCUGAAUUAUCAGAUACCAAGCAUCCCGAAGUUCUUACUCGUCCUAGACAUGAUUUACAUAAUACCUAUUUGGCUCAAUUCUUCCUUCUUACCUUCUGAAAUGUUUUCAUGGACCACUUUGCCUAAAAUCACUGUCUAUACUUAUGCUAUAUUUUCCUCAUUGUUGUCUGAUAAUCACAGAAUUUAUCAGUCUGUUAAUUGUUCCUUGUUCUCAUUGCAAGUUCAAUGUAAUGCUAGGUUAUUAUUGUUUUUUUCUCUAUCCCAGGAAUAUAUGAGUAUUAUAUUAUUGUUCAUUUUGCUGAAUAAACAGGUGAUUGAAUAAAGUAUUGUAUAAAUUUCACAUGCAAAUUUUGAAAAUCAUAUUAGACAUGCAUGCUAAAAUAAUUUAAAGAACUCUUGGCCAUAUAACUUUGUUAUUACAUUCACUAAAUUUGUGCCUACA